UUUUGAUGUAAUUUCUAGUUUGAAUUUUGUAAAUUAUUGUAAUCAAGUUUUAUAUUCCAAUUUAGUGCACUUAAUAUUGACAUAUCACUAAUAUAAUUUCUUAAUCAUUGUCGCAUGAUUAAUCAUAAUACAGUUAUAUUACUUUCACAUUGACAAUACAUUAAUAUUUAGUUAAAUAAAUUAGAUUGUGUGACUUAAUUGCUAUAAUUGUAAAGAUUCGAAUAAAAAAUUACAAUAUAUUAAAAUUUCAGAACCAUAGUUUGGCCACUAAAAGUGUAAUU
This 281-nucleotide long non-coding RNA is filed under the name Ananas comosus (pineapple). RNAcentral's name for it is "long non-coding RNA (ACOM_LNC024888)". The record is from RNAcentral. Lineage: Eukaryota; Viridiplantae; Streptophyta; Magnoliopsida; Poales; Bromeliaceae.